This 924-nucleotide long non-coding RNA is filed under the name Homo sapiens (human). RNAcentral's name for it is "non-protein coding lnc-DIRC1-1:2". Lineage: Eukaryota; Metazoa; Chordata; Mammalia; Primates; Hominidae. The record is from RNAcentral.
CAAAUAUGUGCACACAGCCACUUUGCCAAGUGUGGGAAAGAACCAGUGUCUGGACUAGUUCCAAGCCAUCCAGACAGCUAUUUCAACUGGAACAAGUGACCUUUGGAACUGACUAGAACAUAACAGCCUGGCCAGACAGAGGGGAGGGAGUAGGCAGUUGGGAAGGACCCCAACAUGUUCUUCUGAAAGCUCAUUUGAAAUAAGAGGACAAUAAAAAGGACAGAAAUAUGAACUUAAAAAUACAUCAAACCAGUAAAAACUGUGUGACCACAAUAUGGGAUUCAAGAAAAGUUACAGUUUGUGUUUUUAGCUGUCAUUCUUUAAUAUACACGCUUAAAUACUUCUCCAACCCCGUGAGCACAGGCCCUGUCCCUUAAUUACAUAACAUUCAUGUUUGAAUCUUCAUAGCCUCUUUGACACUAAGUAACCAUUAUUUUGUUUUUCCUCUAUCAAUUGGGCCAGACUUCCUUAGUCUAUGAUUCUAUGGUGAUUGUUAGACAAACUUCAAUAAUUACUAAGAGAUUUAUUUAGCAAAUUAUUGCUACAAUAGAAGUUAAAAUAAUAGUAAAUAUUUUAUUGAAAAUGAGAUAGUGGUUAUCUUCUCCCAACAUUUAUUUGAAGGCAUGUUGUUCUUUUCUAAGAGAACAUACAAAAUUUAAGUUCACAUCAUUGGCAAGAAGCAUCUAAAUAAAUAUGCAAUCUUUUAAUGAAUGCUUAUGGACAAAGUGUUGUGCUUGGUAACAAAGAGGAAGGAUGUCAAGGCAAUCCUUCCUUCAAAAUGUUUGAAAAAUGGAGAGCAAAGCUUUUUUAAAAAUGCUUUAUUAAAAAUACAAAAAGAAAGCUGUUUCUUAGACAAUGUGUUAUUGAUUUUUAGAAAAUAUAUUAACUAUCAUAAGUUGAUUAUGUCCAAGGUACUGAGAAAAU